CCCGUUAAUGGGUGAGAGCGUGCCUUUUGUAGAAUGAACCGGCGAGUUACGAUAUGAUGCGAGGUUAAGUUGAAGAGACGGAGCCGUAGGGAAACCGAGUCUUAAUAGGGCGCCAUAGUAUCAUGUUGUAGACCCGAAACCAUGUGACCUACCCAUGAGCAGGUUGAAGGUGAGGUAAAACUCACUGGAGGACCGAACCAGGGCACGUUGAAAAGUGCUUGGAUGACUUGUGGGUAGCGGAGAAAUUCCAAACGAACUUGGAGAUAGCUGGUUCUCUCCGAAAUAGCUUUAGGGCUAGCGUCGAUGUUAAGUCUCUUGGAGGUAGAGCACUGUUUGGGUGAGGGGUCCAUCCCGGAUUACCAAUCUCAGAUAAACUCCGAAUGCCAACGAGAUAUAAUCGGCAGUCAGACUGCGAGUGCUAAGAUCCGUAGUCGAAAGGGAAACAGCCCAGACCACCAGCUAAGGUCCCAAAAUAUAUGUUAAGUGGAAAAGGAUGUGGGGUUGCACAGACAACUAGGAUGUUAGCUUAGAAGCAGCUAUUCAUUCAAAGAGUGCGUAAUAGCUCACUAGUCGAGUGACCCUGCGCCGAAAAUGUACCGGGGC
This 603-nucleotide ribosomal RNA is filed under the name Streptococcus sp. HMSC057F04. RNAcentral describes it as "bacterial LSU rRNA". It matches the Rfam family "Bacterial large subunit ribosomal RNA", at positions 580 to 1181 of the family's 2925-position model. Lineage: Bacteria; Bacillati; Bacillota; Bacilli; Lactobacillales; Streptococcaceae. The record is from RNAcentral.